UGGGGGAUAUUGCACAAUGGGCGAAAGCCUGAUGCAGCGACGCCGCGUGGGGGAUGAAGGCUUUCGGGUUGUAAACCUCUUUCGCUAUCGAACAAGGCUCGCUUAGGGUGGGUUGAGGGUAGGUGGAGAAGAAGCGCCGGCUAACUACGUGCCAGCAGCCGCGGUAAUACGUAGGGCGCGAGCGUUGUCCGGAAUUAUUGGGCGUAAAGGGCUUGUAGGCGGCUUGUUGCGCCUGCUGUGAAAACGCGGGGCUUAACUUCGCGCGUGCAGUGGGUACGGGCAGGCUUGAGUGUGGUAGGGGUGACUGGAAUUCCAGGUGUAGCGGUGGAAUGCGCAGAUAUCUGGAGGAACACCGAUGGCGAAGGCAGGUCACUGGGCCAUUACUGACGCUGAGGAGCGAAAGCAUGGGUAGCGAACAGG
This 420-nucleotide ribosomal RNA is filed under the name bacterium. Its description in RNAcentral is "partial 16S ribosomal RNA". It matches the Rfam family "Bacterial small subunit ribosomal RNA", at positions 355 to 776 of the family's 1533-position model. The record is from RNAcentral.